UGCGUAGGCGGGUAUAUAAGUCAGUGGUGAAAGCUCCGGGCUUAACUUGGAAACUGCCAUUGAUACUGUAUAUCUUGAAUGUCGUAGAGGUUAGCGGAAUGUUGCAUGUAGCGGUGAAAUGCUUAGAUAUGUUACAGAACACCAAUUGCGAAGGCAGCUAACUAUGCGAUGAUUGACGCUGAGGCACGAAAGCGUGGGGAGCAAACAGGAUUAGAUACCCUGGUAGUCCACGCCCUAAACGAUGAUUACUCGAUGUUGGCGAUACACUGUCAGCGUCUUAGCGAAAGCGUUAAGUAAUCCACCUGGGGAGUACGCUCGCAAGAGUGAA
RNAcentral lists this ribosomal RNA (328 nucleotides) under uncultured Flavisolibacter sp. RNAcentral's name for it is "bacterial SSU rRNA". It matches the Rfam family "Bacterial small subunit ribosomal RNA", at positions 568 to 898 of the family's 1533-position model. The record is from RNAcentral. Lineage: Bacteria; Pseudomonadati; Bacteroidota; Chitinophagia; Chitinophagales; Chitinophagaceae.